AAAAAAAAAAGAAGAAGAGGGAGGCGGAGAGAGUGAAUGAGGUACGAUGUGCAGCUUGCUUCACGUCCUCAGUUCCCCCAACCCCAUCGGAGAAGAAUGACAAGAUGGAGAUAGAGAAGCUUUUUCAGCACCCCUUUUUCUUGCUCCCCCCCCCCUUUCUCCCUCUGUUUUUUCCAUCCCCUACGGUAGAGCUGCCAGACAGGAGUGCUCAGCAGCUCUCCGAACGUUAUUGAUCCUGAGAGCAAGUCGGACAGGGAGUUGGUGUCUCUCCCUCUAUCUCUCUCUAGCUUGCCUCCCUCCAUCAGAGCUUCAUCUCCCAACACAGUCCACAACUUUUUCUCUCCCACCUAGCCUGACUCCCUCGCUCCCUUCCCGCCUCUACUUCAUUUAUCAAGGUUAAGGAACUCUUAUAAAAAAGGGAAGAGGGGGUCGCCUGGAUGUUAUCUGACUUCAUGAAAGAAAUCCCCUCGGGCCACUCCACAGGAGGAGAACGCUGCCUGCCAGGCCCAACUCUACACAAAUACACGCACGGAUGCAGAAACAUAAAACCACACCGAGCAGCGGGGCCGCUCACACCCAAACAGAAACGGUAGACAGCAUUUCCAGUUUGGCGCAAAACAACAGGGUGACCAGAGACAGGAAAUGUCUUAACUUAAACCUUAAAGAGCCAGAGAGAGAGAGAGAGAAAAGGACUGAGAAACACGCAACAUGCUUGAGUCUCAGUCCAGAGGAGAGAGUUUGUUACCCCGAUGUGCUAAGAUAGCAAGUGGAGUCCUUGGCAAUUAUUUUUCAAAAUCAGAAAAUAGAGAAGGUUCAGUCCCUUCCAAGGCUGAGACUAACUCUUACUGAUUUCAAGCUAUCCUACACAUACAUACCACAGCAACCUGCACUUCAGAAUUCACCAAAUAGUUAUUUUACCUCUAUUUUUAGAUUAAGUAAGUCUGAUUGUG
This is a long non-coding RNA of Poeciliopsis prolifica (blackstripe livebearer), 950 nucleotides long. RefSeq lists it as uncharacterized. NCBI's taxonomy places the organism in Eukaryota, Metazoa, Chordata, Actinopteri, Cyprinodontiformes, Poeciliidae. The record is from RefSeq and is a predicted model, not a curated record. The transcript is spliced from 3 exons.